UGCGGGGUAGAGCAGUCUGGUAGCUCGUCGGGCUCAUAACCCGGAGGUCGCAGGUUCAAAUCCUGUCCCCGCUACUA
Molecule: transfer RNA, 77 nt
Filed under: Lentimicrobiaceae bacterium
Lineage: Bacteria; Pseudomonadati; Bacteroidota; Bacteroidia; Bacteroidales; Lentimicrobiaceae
Description: tRNA-Met
Rfam family: tRNA
About the family: Transfer RNA (tRNA) molecules are approximately 80 nucleotides in length. Their secondary structure includes four short double-helical elements and three loops (D, anti-codon, and T loops).
Source: RNAcentral